RNAcentral lists this ribosomal RNA (251 nucleotides) under uncultured bacterium. Its description in RNAcentral is "partial 16S ribosomal RNA". It matches the Rfam family "Bacterial small subunit ribosomal RNA", at positions 524 to 774 of the family's 1533-position model. The record is from RNAcentral.
UACGUAGGGGGCAAGCGUUAUCCGGAUUUACUGGGUGUAAAGGGAGCGUAGACGGCAGUGCAAGUCCGGAGUGAAAGCCCACGGCCCAACCGUGGGACUGCUCUGGAAACUGUGCUGCUGGAGUGCGGGAGGGGCAGGCGGAAUUCCUAGUGUAGCGGUGAAAUGCGUAGAUAUUAGGAGGAACACCGGCGGCGAAGGCGGCCUGCUGGACCGUAACUGACGUUGAGGCUCGAAAGCGUGGGGAGCAAACA